RNAcentral lists this transfer RNA (74 nucleotides) under Anaerolineae bacterium. RNAcentral's name for it is "tRNA-Pro". It matches the Rfam family "tRNA". Rfam says of the family: Transfer RNA (tRNA) molecules are approximately 80 nucleotides in length. The record is from RNAcentral. RNAcentral also lists the same sequence under 1 other name. Lineage: Bacteria; Bacillati; Chloroflexota; Anaerolineae.
CGGGGCAUGGCGCAGCCUGGUAGCGCGCUUGCAUGGGGUGCAAGAGGUCGUGGGUUCGAGUCCCGCUGCCCCGA